Long non-coding RNA from Colias croceus (clouded yellow), 3055 nucleotides. RefSeq lists it as uncharacterized. The record is from RefSeq and is a predicted model, not a curated record. The transcript is spliced from 4 exons. Lineage: Eukaryota; Metazoa; Arthropoda; Insecta; Lepidoptera; Pieridae.
CCGAUGUCAUAACCACAAAAAAUAUUUUGGCGGGGCUAUGUUGUCAAUUUUUAAGACGAAAUAGCCCCGUCGAUUAUGUAUGAAUUUGCAAAAAGCUAGUGACGUGUUACGAUUGGCUUUCUUAUCGACAUAAGCAUAAAUGUUGAGGCAACUGACAUUGUAGUAGGGAUAGAAAUUUGAUCUCAAUAGUUAUUAAUACGAUUCCUUGUCUUUUUGUUUGUUGCAAUUUUAUUAACUAAGAGUCAUCUUGUUUUGUUUUGUAGCAAUUUUAUGUGUGUUUUGAAUACUUAUGUUGAUACACUUUUAUCAUUUUGUUCCUUAAUAAAGUUUACUACUUACUUAAAUGUGUUUUUUUAAUACCUGGGUCAAAAAAAUUGGAAUCAAUUUGAAUUAUAUUUGGAAGUUUAGAAUGUAUUGCUUCUUUCGUAAGAAAAAUUGUUCUACCUUAUGGGGCCCUAACGCUAUGUGGCACCCUCAACACUUAUUAAUUAAUUACUUGAUGAAAACAUAAUUUAUCCAAAAUCUAUUUUGGGUGAAUUGAAGUGGUAUUACACUUAUAUUAAGUAUACCAUAUUAGAAGCCACUUAACUUUUCAUAUUCAAAUUGAUUCCACACAAAAAGUUAUCGAUAUUUCAAAAAAGUUAUAUCGAUAUUGUGUGCGCGUCACUAUCUUGUAUGGACGCUAGACGGAAUAGCCCCUCCAAAAAUUUAGAAUGAUUUUUCUCGAAAAUGAACCUUAUGUCUGCGUAACUAAAUACAAAUUCAAAUAGGCAGCGUCAUCAGUAUUGUAUAUUUCUGGGUAAAAUGGAAAUUGCUCCACAGAUGUCGUUCUAUUAAACUCUUGACGAAAUAACCCCGCGCGGGGCUAUUUUGCCCAAAGUCAACUCCUAUUAGAAUAUAGCUAUUUUCUUAGCUACUGCAAUCGUUUUUCACGUUCUAAAUAUGAUGAAUAGAAUAAGAAAUAACGGCUUGCUUUGAUGUAAUUGACAAAUUUUCCGUAGUUAUUAUUUAAGAAAAAAUACAGACGUGUUCUUUUUUGAGUGUUAUUUUUCGGACGGAAUAGCCCCGCCCUUCUAUAUUAAUAUAUUAAUUAAUAUUUUAUUCAAUAAAUAGGUUAAAAUGAGUGUAACAUUCAGUAAGAAUCAAAUACCAUGAUGUGGUUUAUGACAAUACGGAGAGAGAUUCAUAGUAAAAACAUGAUUAAAGUUAAAUAAAUAGAACAUAUAAAUGAAAUUUAACAUAGAACCAAGCCAUUUGCUAACUUAAAGGCCGAGAAAUUUCCUUUUGCAAACAAGAACCAAAGUCAGUUGGUUCUGGUUACCUUUAAAACUAAUGAAGCUUUUUGUGAUAAAAUAGAACCAACCAACUUUGGUUCCAGCUUGCAUAAUGAAAGUUGGCGAAAUUGGGUUGGUUCCGCAACUGACAUGUAAAAAACUCCACUUACAGUAGUCAAAACUCUACCAAAUUUUUUGAGAAGGUAGAAAACGUUUUUUUAACACUAGCUGUGUACUUAACUCAAUUUCACAAAAAAUGUGGGCUGGUCCCUGUUUGCAUAAAUAGGUCCAAAUAGAAUAAUAAAACUAACUUAAAUAACAGAAUAUUGAAUGCAAGUUUAUUAAUAGACCUAGCCUAACCCAUUUAAAAAUGCUACAUAAUUAAAUUAUAUCGAUUUCAUUUCAUGUGUUGAUUUCCAAGAACUAUGUAAUUCAUAAACCUAGGUUUAGUAUCUAUACACUAUAAAGUGCAUGCGAAUUUGAACACUUGGUUCGUAGUUUAAAGACUAUAUUCGUGUGAAGUUUAAUUAUCAUAAUAGUAAUGUGAUACAAUAAUACACAGUCCAUACAAUAUUGUUGACCCUGACGUUUGUGUGCGAAGAAUUAACAAAAUGCUUAAUUUCAGAGAAAUCAGUACAAAUUGUGCUAAAUGCUUGCUCCUAGCUUUGAACGUGUGUUGCAUAGUAAGUAUUAUAAAUAAGAGACGUUUGUGCACUUGAAAUAAUUAGGUAAGUACUAAUAUAAAAUUUACGAAGAUCCUAAAGGCAUUUAUCCGAUUUUAAUAAGAUGAUUCUAUCCAGAAGAGCUAAAUUUAAGGUCUCUUAAUAAUUAAUAAAACGAAUUUUAAUGCAAACUACAUAUCGUGAGUGACUUCAUUAUAAAGGACGUAUGCUGCUUACAAAUGCACAAAAAUACAUACAUCUGAUUGCGCCUCAAGAAUCACCAGAAGACAUUAUUUUUUAUUAGACGAAAAAAACAAGCAACUCUACAUGAUACUUGAGCGCAUUUUUGUAAAAAAUAAUUUUAGAAUUAUACAAUAUACAUAAUACUUUGCGAAGAUACCACCUUAACAUCAUUUCUUUUAAGAAUUGUACAUUCUUCUUCUUCGUUUAUAUGGACGAAUUAUACAUAUGUCCAGUGUAGUCCAGGAGAGUCAGGAUAAGAAUUGUACCAAUACAGCUCAUUGUUUUUCCAGCUAAUUUCGCUCUGUACCUUCAUAUUCGCGGUGGUGGAUACCAGAGUCCUCAAGCAGUACGGCGAGGAGUAUGCCGCAGGGACCUACAUUGGGGACGUGGUGGUGAUCGUGGCCUGUCUGCUGGUGCUAAGCGUGGCGGCGUUUGGCAGCAUUGGAGCUUUGAGAAAUAAUGUCAAGAUGUUGUACUUGCAUCGGCUUCCUCAUGAUCACAGUGGUCAUAGAGUUACUAGUCACCAUCUAUGUAGCUGUGCAGAGGUAUGGCUUGGAGUUCCGAGUGUCGGAUUGGCUGCGAGAGGACUUCUUCAAGAACAUUACUGGUGAAGAGAUGGAGCACAAGCAGUUGUGGGACCAGCUGCAGAGUUCUGUCUUCAAGCUACUUCCCCGAUGGGUGUGAAGAUGAAAUCCUGGAAGUGCUACGAUCAGAUGCGGAAUGGUUAUUCGGUGUAGCUGUCACCAGUUUUUGGUUUGAGGCAGCAGGAAUGCUUCUGGCGAUGUGGGUGGCGAAUAAUGAAAGAAAUAAGAUUCAAGCAUAUACUCAAACUGUGAAAUAUUAGUAAAUUGUUGUAAAUAAAUGUUUUCAUAGUUA